AUAUCUUUCAUCUCAAAGCAAGACUUGGCAGUCACUGGAAAAUAAAUAAAGGAAACAAGAUGGACAGACAUUUCUGAUAACAAAUCCUGUGAACAAGCAAGCAACGAUCUAAUGAUGGCUUUUAAGGCUAUAUUGUGUUGAGAUAUACAAAAACAAGGUUUAAGAAACAAAAUGCAAAACGCAACCUGCCUUGGUUUGAUAGCCAUCUAUGGGACAUAAUGAAAAAGAAAGAUACUGCUCUUAAAAAGUUUUUAAAGUCAGGAUUAAGCACUGAUCAUCUAAUUUUUAGAUUAGAAGUUCAUCUAAGUUUAAGAAACAGGGCUACACAGCAACUUAGAAAGGCCAGGGCAACUUUUUUUCUGAAUCUUAUCAGGGAUGCCAAAGGGAACAGUAAAAAAUUAUCGAAUAGCAUUGAUAAAUUACUUUAAGGAAAAACACACACAUGAGAGCAUUCCGCUCAUGGCUCUAUCCUAAAUGAUAGCCAUGCUAUUUUUAUUCAUUUUAAUGAUUAUUUUUUAAAUUCUGUGCAGCAACUUAGUCAGACAUUUCCGGCAAUAGACCCUCCGCAACCAUUUACUUGUGGAGGGCCUGUAUUUGACCUGAACACAAUAAAUGAGGCUAAAGUGGAUACAAUUUUAUCAAACUUGUCAAACAGCAAGGCCAAGGAUAUACACUGCCUGGACACAGCAUUUUUAAAGCUACAUAAAGAGUCUGUCUCUUCAUCACUUACGACAAUAAUAAACAAAUCUAUAAAUGAGGGCAUCUUUCCCAGUACUUUUAAAACAGCUAUAGUAACUCCAGUUCAUAAAUCUGGUGACAAUCAGGAGGUCAGUAACUACCGCCCCAUUAGUAUACUCCCAGCAGCCUCAAAGGUCUUGGAAA
Long non-coding RNA from Osmerus eperlanus (European smelt), 882 nucleotides. RefSeq lists it as uncharacterized. The record is from RefSeq and is a predicted model, not a curated record. The transcript has 2 exons. Lineage: Eukaryota; Metazoa; Chordata; Actinopteri; Osmeriformes; Osmeridae.